AUCAUCCUCACGCUCGAUGAUCCCAUAAUUGGCUGGAUCAUUUGGAUCAAAGGCAUCCCUCGCCUCUGCCAUUCUCAGUGCCCUAUUCAACUUCACCUCAAGAAGAAAUUUCUCCUUUCCUUCAGCUACUUUCAACUUAUUCAUCAACUCCCCUAUCACCCGAUACUCCGCCUUCAACGCGAAAUGUUUCUCCUCAAAUUCAUCAAUUAUUUUCAUCCAUUUGAAUGCAUCAUCAAAGGUCUC
RNAcentral lists this long non-coding RNA (243 nucleotides) under Salvia miltiorrhiza (redroot sage). RNAcentral's name for it is "long non-coding RNA (SMIL_LNC012698)". The record is from RNAcentral. Lineage: Eukaryota; Viridiplantae; Streptophyta; Magnoliopsida; Lamiales; Lamiaceae.